RNAcentral lists this ribosomal RNA (253 nucleotides) under uncultured bacterium. RNAcentral's name for it is "partial 16S ribosomal RNA". It matches the Rfam family "Bacterial small subunit ribosomal RNA", at positions 524 to 776 of the family's 1533-position model. The record is from RNAcentral.
GACAGAGGGUGCGAACGUUGUUCGGAAUCACUGGGCGUAAAGGGUGCGUAGGCGGGUCUUUAAGUCAGGGGUGAAAUCCUGGAGCUCAACUCCAGAACUGCCUUUGAUACUGAAGAUCUUGAGUUCGGGAGAGGUGAGUGGAACUGCGAGUGUAGAGGUGAAAUUCGUAGAUAUUCGCAAGAACACCAGUGGCGAAGGCGGCUCACUGGCCCGAUACUGACGCUGAGGCACGAAAGCGUGGGGAGCAAACAGG